AUCAGGGUUCGAUUCCGGAGAGGGAGCCUGAGAAACGGCUACCACAUCCAAGGAAGGCAACAGGCGCGCAAAUUACCCAAUCUAGACAGUAGGAGGUGGUGAAGAGAAUUACUAGGUGGUGACUCAAUGAGUUACCAGUUUGGAAUGAACGUAACUUAAGAAAUUCGAUGAGAAACAACUGGAGGGCAAGUCCUGGUGCCAGCAGCCGCGGUAAUUCCAGCUCCAGUAGUUUGAUUUAAAGUUGUUGCGUUUAAAACGCUCGUAGUUGGAUCACGCAGCAGUGUUCAGUAAUCUUCCACUGUGCCGCGCGCCAGCUGUAUAGCACGAGCCCACUUGUGGUGCUGUGAUAUCAGUUUAACGCGCACACGUGUGUGUAGAUACCAACGCUGAGCACUGCUAGUUGCACGUGAGAUGGAUUGUUGGCCUUGAAUGAGCCGGUAUUCUCGUCUUGCGGAGUGUGCCUUGAAUAAAACAGAGUGCUUAAAGCAGGUCAUUGCCUGAAUGUUAUAGCAUGGAACGAACAAUCGUGUACAUGUAUCGACUGUGCAUCGGCGAUGGGCCUUAGGUCUGUCGUUGUUCACGGCCGAUACGGCACCCACCAAAGUAUGGCUGUUGGUUCCCAUAUACGGUGAUGAUUAAAAGGAGCGGUUGGGGGCAUUGGUAUUUGGCCGCGAGAGGUGAAAUUCUUAGACCGGCCAAGGACUAACAAAUGCAAAGGCAGUUGUCUAGACCGUUUCCGUUAAUCAAGAACGAAAGUGGGAGGUUCGAAGACGAUCAGAUACCGUCCUAGUUCCCACUGUAAACUAUGCCGACCUGGGAUCAGUCUAGAG
This 830-nucleotide ribosomal RNA is filed under the name Neoactinomyxum sp. type LY. RNAcentral's name for it is "SSU rRNA". It matches the Rfam family "Eukaryotic small subunit ribosomal RNA", at positions 369 to 1063 of the family's 1831-position model. The record is from RNAcentral. Lineage: Eukaryota; Metazoa; Cnidaria; Myxozoa.